Ziziphus jujuba (common jujube) is the source of this 674-nucleotide long non-coding RNA. RefSeq lists it as uncharacterized. NCBI's taxonomy places the organism in Eukaryota, Viridiplantae, Streptophyta, Magnoliopsida, Rosales, Rhamnaceae. The record is from RefSeq and is a predicted model, not a curated record. The transcript has 2 exons.
AUCGAAUCCCGUUGGCGUUUCCGAGGUGAAGCAAAAGGAGGAAUGUUGUUGUAGGUGAGACUGCUACCGGAAUUGUUCAGCGAUGAAGGUUUCGGAUCCAAGCAAACAGGGGAGGAGGAUUGAUAGAAAGCCAACGCUCUUAGAUACUGUUCACACCACAGUUGGGUCUUAGAUCAGCAGCUGCAGAUACAAAAUCUCUUCCAUAUUUCUUCUCAAAGAUGUCCCUAAGUGCUACCAGUUCUGGAAUUUCCGAGCACCUUGGGGCUGCAAAAAUUAAACUAGAAAUCCCUUCUUUUAGAUCAGCUGGGCAUUCUCUGCAACAAAUUGGGUAACAAAUACGCAUCAGAUAAAUGAUCCUUGUAGCACAAGGUAAUGUAAUAAAAGCCAACACUUGCCUCUAGCUCCAUCUCAGAAUUGUGGAGCCUUUUUUUUUUUUCAAUGCGUUUCUUUUGUUGGGAAUUCUUUAAUUGACAGAGUGAGCAGGAGCUGUGGCGGUGAGCGAAAUUUUGGCAAUUUUUCUCAUACGAGGGAAUUUUAAAUUUGAACCAUCUGUGUUUAUGGUUUUGAAUCCAAUGGCUGUAAUUUUUGACAUAUUUUUUGUCCAUAUCAGUUUUGAUCAGGUCGAUCCUGAUCAUAGAAAGACUAUAUAUAUAUAUAUAUACAUAUUUGUAUAA